GACGAACGCUGGCGGCGUGCCUAAUACAUGCAAGUAGAACGCUGAAGAGAGGAGCUUGCUCUUCUUGGAUGAGUUGCGAACGGGUGAGUAACGCGUAGGUAACCUGCCUUGUAGCGGGGGAUAACUAUUGGAAACGAUAGCUAAUACCGCAUAACAAUGGAUGACACAUGUCAUUUAUUUGAAAGGGGCAAUUGCUCCACUACAAGAUGGACCUGCGUUGUAUUAGCUAGUAGGUGAGGUAAUGGCUCACCUAGGCGACGAUACAUAGCCGACCUGAGAGGGUGAUCGGCCACACUGGGACUGAGACACGGCCCAGACUCCUACGGGAGGCAGCAGUAGGGAAUCUUCGGCAAUGGGGGCAACCCUGACCGAGCAACGCCGCGUGAGUGAAGAAGGUUGUCGGAUCGUAAAGCUCGGUUGUAAGUCAAGAACGGGUGUGAGAGUGGAAAGUUCACACUGUGACGGUAGCUGACCAGAAAGGGACGGCUAACUACGUG
This 497-nucleotide ribosomal RNA is filed under the name uncultured bacterium. RNAcentral describes it as "partial 16S ribosomal RNA". It matches the Rfam family "Bacterial small subunit ribosomal RNA", at positions 28 to 507 of the family's 1533-position model. The record is from RNAcentral.